ACGUGAGUCACUCAUUUUUAACGGAUAAAGUCAAGCGAAAUAAAGCAAAGAACGUAAUUUGAAAAGUUGAAGUUAAAAUAAUAAGUAGUGUGAAAGAAAAAUGCAAAAUAGUUCACGCGUUAUAAAGUUAUAACACGCGUAAUGCCUAAAGUUUUAAAUGCAGUCAUAAGUAGGUACGAAAUGCAUUCAAAUCGAUGCGCGUAAGCCACUAGCAAGCGAUAAGGAACCGGUUUUGAACUCGGCACGGUUGCUCGUCGCCCGCUUCUAAGAGUAAAAAUGUUGUACUGUAGGUACCGACAAGAUGAUUUAAUUGAAUUUUAGCGAAGAUACCACAAUGUCUGAUCCAGAAAGAAUGCUAGAAGACGGAAAUUAGAAGGAAUAAGAAGGAUAUGGAACAAACUCACUCAGUCAUGUCCCUGCCUUUUUGGUUUCCGCGUUGCAAUGUUCCUUCGGGAAGUCUUCGCUGGUAUAUUAAAAUUUGUUUAAUUCA
Long non-coding RNA from Maniola jurtina (meadow brown), 490 nucleotides. RefSeq lists it as uncharacterized. The record is from RefSeq and is a predicted model, not a curated record. Lineage: Eukaryota; Metazoa; Arthropoda; Insecta; Lepidoptera; Nymphalidae. The transcript is spliced from 3 exons.